AUGAGGACAACCAAAGGAGGAUGCAUUGGAUGGCUUGGUGGAAAAUGUGUGUACCCAAGAACCGAGGAGGAAUUGAUCCAUUGUUUCAAUUUGGUUAUGCUUGCUAAACAGGCUUGGCGUCUUAUCGAGAAUCUGGAUUCUCUAUGUGCUACUAUUUUGAGAGUCAAAUACUAUCCUGACGGUGACUUGUUGAACACUGGCCUGAAGAACGGUUCUUCCUUCACCUGGCAAAGUAUUAUGGCGGGUGUGAGCUCCCUGAAGCGUGGUCAUAUUUGGCGAGUGGGAAAUGGGCAGAAUAUUGACAUUUGGGAGGGCGCCUGGAUUCCAAACUGUGCAAACCAUAAAAUUGUUACCCCUAAGGGAGGCCAGUUGUUACGGAAGGUAGCAGAUUUGACUGAACCAAUCCUAAAUAGUUGGGAUGAAGAUCUUCUCAGACAUACUCUAUGGCCUAUUGAUGUUCAGCGAGUGCUUGUGAUCCCGAUAUCGCAACAUGAUAUGCUAGAUUUCGUAGCUUGGAAUCUCACAAAAAAUGGGAUCUUUUCGAUUCGGUCUGCUUAUUUUGUGGAAUGGGACGACCAAUAUGGGAACAAUUUACGACAUACCAAUGGGAUGGGACGUACCACGGUCAAUCCUAUUUGGGGGGAGGCUUUGGAAACUUGCUUGUCCAGCAAAGGUUAA
This 678-nucleotide ribosomal RNA is filed under the name Triticum aestivum (bread wheat). Its description in RNAcentral is "partial small subunit ribosomal RNA". Lineage: Eukaryota; Viridiplantae; Streptophyta; Magnoliopsida; Poales; Poaceae. The record is from RNAcentral.